GACGAACGCUGGCGGCGUGCUUAACACAUGCAAUUCGAACGAUGAAGCCGGAGCUUGCUCCGGUGGAUUAGUGGCGAACGGGUGAGUAACACGUGAGCAAUCUGCCCUUGACUCUGGGAUAACUGCGGGAAACUGUAGCUAAUACCGGAUACGACACCUUGGGGCAUCCCAGGGUGUGGAAAGAACUUCGGUCAAGGAUGAGCUCGCGGCCUAUCAGCUAGUUGGUGAGGUAAUGGCUCACCAAGGCGAAGGCGGGUAGCCGGCCUGAGGGAGUGACCGGCCACACUGGAGCUGAGACACGGUCCAGACUCCGACGGGAGGCAGCAGUGGGGAAUAUUGCACAAUGGGCGAAAGCCUGAUGCAGCAACGCCGCGUGAGGGAUGAAGGCCUUCGGGUUGUAAACCUCUUUUAGCAGGGAAGAAGCGAAAGUGACGGUACCUGCAGAAAAAGCACCGGCUAACUACGUGCCAGCCGCCGCCGUAA
This 483-nucleotide ribosomal RNA is filed under the name uncultured bacterium. RNAcentral's name for it is "partial 16S ribosomal RNA". It matches the Rfam family "Bacterial small subunit ribosomal RNA", at positions 28 to 523 of the family's 1533-position model. The record is from RNAcentral.